RNAcentral lists this small nuclear RNA (102 nucleotides) under Moschus moschiferus (Siberian musk deer). Lineage: Eukaryota; Metazoa; Chordata; Mammalia; Artiodactyla; Moschidae. The record is from RNAcentral.
GUGUUUCUGCAGCACAUACACUAAAAUUGGACCAUACAGAAAAGAUUAGCAUGGCCCCUGAGCAAGCAUGACACAAAACUUCAUGGAUCGUUUCAUAUUUUU